GUUUUUUAGAAUUUAUAUUGAAAGUCUGGUCUGCCCAAUGAUUAUUUAAAUGGCUGCGGUAAUUUGACCGUACAAAGGUAGCAUAAUAAUUAGUCUUUUAAUUGAAGUCUGGAAUGAAUGAUUGGAUGAGAAAAUUACUUUCUUUAAAUUUUUAUUAUUAAAAUUUUAUUUUUAAGUGAAAAAGCUUAAAUUUUUAUUUGGGACGAUAAGACCCUAUAGAGCUUAAUAUUUUUUUAAUUUUUCUUUUUUUGGUUUAUAAAUAUUAGGUUAAUUAAAAUGAAUUUUUUGUUGGGGUGAUAACUGAAUUUUAUUUGUCUUUAUGUUUAUUAAUUCAAUUUUGUUUGAUUUUUUUGAUCCAUUUUUAUUGAUUGUAAGAUAAAGCUACCUUAGGGAUAACAGCGUAAUUUAUUUUAAGAGUUCUUAUCGAAGAAUAAGUUUGCGACCUCGAUGUUGGAUUAAGAUUAGAAAAGGGUGAAGAUUUUCUUUAUUCUUGGUCUGUUCGACCAUUAAAUUCUUACA
Molecule: ribosomal RNA, 519 nt
Filed under: Machaerota takeuchii
Lineage: Eukaryota; Metazoa; Arthropoda; Insecta; Hemiptera; Machaerotidae
Description: partial 16S ribosomal RNA
Rfam family: Bacterial large subunit ribosomal RNA (bases 392-519)
Source: RNAcentral